UUGGAGGGCAAGUCUGGUGCCAGCAGCCGCGGUAAUUCCAGCUCCAAUAGCGUAUAUUAAAGUUGUUGUGGUUAAAAAGCUCGUAGUUGAACCUUGGGCCUGGCUGGCCGGUCCGCCUCACCGCGUGUACUGGUCCGGCCGGGCCUUUCCCUCUGUGGAACCCCAUGCCCUUCACUGGGUGUGGCGGGGAAACAGGACUUUUACUGUGAAAAAAUUAGAGUGCUCCAGGCAGGCCUAUGCUCGAAUACAUUAGCAUGGAAUAAUAGAAUAGGACGUGUGGUUCUAUUUUGUUGGUUUCUAGGACCGCCGUAAUGAUUAAUAGGGACAGUCUGGGGCAUCAGUAUUCAAUUGUCAGAGGUGAAAUUCUUGGAUUUAUUGAAGACUAACUACUGCGAAAGCAUUUGCCAAGGAUGUUUUCAUUAAUCAAGAACGAAAGUUAGGGGAUCGAAGACGAUCAGAUACCGUCGUAGUCUUAACCAUAAACUAUGCCGACUAGGGAUCGGAUGAUGUUAAUUUUAUAAUGACUCAUUCGGCGCCUUACGGGAAAC
RNAcentral lists this ribosomal RNA (548 nucleotides) under uncultured Ascomycota. RNAcentral describes it as "SSU rRNA". It matches the Rfam family "Eukaryotic small subunit ribosomal RNA", at positions 548 to 1098 of the family's 1831-position model. The record is from RNAcentral. Lineage: Eukaryota; Fungi; Ascomycota.